UUUCUCAGCGGCGGACGGGUGAGUAACACGUGGGCAACCUGCCCUACAGACUGGGAUAACUCCGGGAAACCGGAGCUAAUACCGGGUAAUACAUAGCAUCGCAUGAUGCAACGUUGAAAGUUGGCCUUUGGCUAACACUGUAGGAUGGGCCCGCGGCGCAUUAGCUAGUUGGUAAGGUAACGGCUUACCAAGGCCACGAUGCGUAGCCGACCUGAGAGGGUGAUCGGCCACACUGGGACUGAGACACGGCCCAGACUCCUACGGGAGGCAGCAGUAGGGAAUCUUCCGCAAUGGACGAAAGUCUGACGGAGCAACGCCGCGUGAGUGACGAAGGCCUUCGGGUCGUAAAGCUCUGUUGUUAGGGAAGAACAAGUACCGUUCGAAUAGGGCGGUACCUUGACGGUACCUAACCAGAAAGCCACGGCUAACUACGUGCCAGCAGCCGCGGUAAUACGUAGGUGGCAAGCGUUGUCCGGAAUUAUUGGGCGUAAAGCGCGCGCAGGCGGUCUCUUAAGUCUGAUGUGAAAGCCCACGGCUCAACCGUGGAGGGCCAUUGGAAACUGGGGGACUUGAGUGCAGAAGAGGAGAGUGGAAUUCCACGUGUAGCGGUGAAAUGCGUAGAUAUGUGGAGGAACACCAGUGGCGAAGGCGGCUCUCUGGUCUGUAACUGACGCUGAGGCGCGAAAGCGUGGGGAGCGAACAGGAUUAGAUACCCUGGUAGUCCACGCCGUAAACGAUGAGUGCUAGGUGUUUGGGGGGUUCCACCCUCAGUGCUGAAGUUAACACAUUAAGCACUCCGCCUGGGGGAGUACGACCGCAAGGUUGAAACUCAAAGGAAAUUGACGGGGGCCCGCACAAGCAGUGAAGCAUGUGUUUUAAUUCGAAGCAACGCGAAAGAACCUUACCAGGGUCUUGACAUCCCUCUGCCACUUCC
Molecule: ribosomal RNA, 934 nt
Filed under: Bacillus sp. (in: firmicutes)
Lineage: Bacteria; Bacillati; Bacillota; Bacilli; Caryophanales; Bacillaceae
Description: bacterial SSU rRNA
Rfam family: Bacterial small subunit ribosomal RNA
Source: RNAcentral